AUUGAACGCUGGCGGCAGGCCUAACACAUGCAAGUCGAACGAGUGGCGGACGGGUGAGUCAUGUCUGGGAAACUGCCUGAAGGAGGGAGAUACCUACUGGAAACGGUAGCUAAUACCGCAAACCAUCAGAUGUGCCCACAGGGGAUUAGCUUGUUGGUGGGGUAAAGGCACACCAAGGCGACGAUCCCUAGCUGGUCUGAGAGGAGGACCAGCAACACUGGAACUGAGACACGGACCAAACUCCUACGGGAGGAAGCAGUGGGGAAUAUUGCACAAUGGGCGAAAGCCUGAUGCAGCCAUGCCGCGUGUAUGAAGAAGGCCUUCGGGUUGGAAAGUACUUUCAGCGGUGAGGCGUUACCCGCAGAAGAAGCACCGGCUAACUCCGUGCCAGCAGCCGCGGUAAUAC
Molecule: ribosomal RNA, 406 nt
Filed under: uncultured bacterium
Lineage: Bacteria
Description: partial 16S ribosomal RNA
Rfam family: Bacterial small subunit ribosomal RNA
Source: RNAcentral